AAUGAACGUUGGCGGCGUGGAUUAGGCAUGCAAGUCGAGCGCGAACCCCGCAAGGGGUGAAAGCGGCGAAAGGGAGAGUAACGCGUGGGUAUCUGCCCUCGGGACUGGGAUAGCUGCGGGAAACUGCAGGUAAUACCAGAUGACGUCUCCGGACCAAAGGUGUGAUUCCGCCUGAGGAUGAGCCCGAGUCCUAUUAGCUAGUUGGUAGGGUAAUGGCCUACCAAGGCAAUGAUGGGUACUGGGUGUGAGAGCACGACCCAGCUCACUGGGACUGAGACACUGCACAGACACCUACGGGUGGCUGCAGUCGAGAAUCUUCGGCAAUGGGCGAAAGCCUGACCGGGCGACGCCGCGUGUGGGAUGAAGGCCUGCGGGUUGUAAACCGCUGUCAGAGGGGAGGAAUGGGCGGAGGGUAAUCUCUUCGUUUUGACCUAUCCUCAGAGGAAGUACGGGCUAAGUUCGUGCCAGCCGCCGCCGUAA
RNAcentral lists this ribosomal RNA (480 nucleotides) under uncultured bacterium. RNAcentral's name for it is "partial 16S ribosomal RNA". It matches the Rfam family "Bacterial small subunit ribosomal RNA", at positions 28 to 523 of the family's 1533-position model. The record is from RNAcentral.